GAUGAACGCUGGCGGCGUGCCUAAUACAUGCAAGUCGAGCGAACGGACGAGAAGCUUGCUUUUCUGAUGUUAGCGGCGGACGGGUGAGUAACACGUGGAUAACCUACCUAUAAGACUGGGAUAACUUCGGGAAACCGGAGCUAAUACCGGAUAAUAUUUUGAACCGCAUGGUUCAAAAGUGAAAGACGGUCUUGCUGUCACUUAUAGAUGGAUCCGCGCUGCAUUAGCUAGUUGGUAAGGUAACGGCUUACCAAGGCAACGAUGCAUAGCCGACCUGAGAGGGUGAUCGGCCACACUGGAACUGAGACACGGUCCAGACUCCUACGGGAGGCAGCAGUAGGGAAUCUUCCGCAGUGGGCGAAAGCCUGACGGAGCAACGCCGCGUGAGUGAUGAAGGUCUUCGGAUCGUAAAACUCUGUUAUUAGGGAAGAACAUAUGUGUAAGUAACUGUGCACAUCUUGACGGGACCUAAUCAGAAAGCCACGGCUAACUACGU
RNAcentral lists this ribosomal RNA (496 nucleotides) under uncultured bacterium. RNAcentral's name for it is "partial 16S ribosomal RNA". It matches the Rfam family "Bacterial small subunit ribosomal RNA", at positions 28 to 506 of the family's 1533-position model. The record is from RNAcentral.